This is a long non-coding RNA of Marmota monax (woodchuck), 478 nucleotides long. RefSeq lists it as uncharacterized. The transcript is spliced from 2 exons. The record is from RefSeq and is a predicted model, not a curated record. Lineage: Eukaryota; Metazoa; Chordata; Mammalia; Rodentia; Sciuridae.
CUCUCUAGUCAAGCGUGUGGCCCGAGGGUGGCCGGAGGGUGUUGACCUGUGUCACAAUUCCCGUGUUCAUCCUGCACGGAGCUCAGUCCCUCUUGUUUCUGCCUGGGGAGUUUGGAGCCGGAGCAGAGUCUCUGCCUCCAGCCUCCGCCUCCUCAGUGAUUGUGUCUGCGCCAAAAGGCAUUCCACCCAAGAGGCUUCCCCAGCUAGGAACAAGGGACAGCAAAGGAGCUGGGCAGUUGAAGGACACCUCUUCAGAUGACCCUCUGGGGGCAGCGUAGUCAGCCUGACCAGGGAGCAGCUGCUAAGCGCCCUUUUCCUCAGCUGUUUGUGCCAAAGAUUGUGCGGCCACCUGACCAUUGGGCCCCAGCCAAGACCCACGGCGGGGACGAAGGCCGUGAGGCCACCUGCUCAGCCGCUGGCUUUGGGUUCUGAUUGCUGGGCGCCCUUCUGCACUAGAAGUAAAUUCUUGCCUUGCGGA